ACGACGCUGGCGGCGUGCCUAAUACAUGCAAGUCGAACGGUCUUUCUAUGGAAGCUUGCUUCCACUGAGAAGAUAGUGGCGAACGGGUGAGUAACACGUGGGUAACCUGCCCAUAAGAGGGGGAUAACAUCCGGAAACGGGUGCUAAUACCGCAUAGUUUUCUUGAUCGCAUGAUCGGGAAAGGAAAGACGGCCUUUGUGCUGUCGCUUAUGGAUGGACCCGCGGCGUAUUAGUUAGUUGGUGAGGUAACGGCUCACCAAGACGAUGAUACGUAGCCGACCUGAGAGGGUGAUCGGCCACAUUGGGACUGAGACACGGCCCAAACUCCUACGGGAGGCAGCAGUAGGGAAUCUUCCGCAAUGGACGAAAGUCUGACGGAGCAACGCCGCGUGAGUGAAGAAAGGUUUUCGGAUCGUAAAACUCUGUUGUCAGAGAAGAACAAGUUGGAGAGUAACUGCUCCAGCCUUGACGGUAUCUGACCAGAAAGCCACGGCUAACUACGUGCCAGCCGCUGC
Molecule: ribosomal RNA, 515 nt
Filed under: uncultured bacterium
Lineage: Bacteria
Description: bacterial SSU rRNA
Rfam family: Bacterial small subunit ribosomal RNA
Source: RNAcentral